RNAcentral lists this long non-coding RNA (1952 nucleotides) under Homo sapiens (human). RNAcentral's name for it is "HSALNT0331884". The record is from RNAcentral. Lineage: Eukaryota; Metazoa; Chordata; Mammalia; Primates; Hominidae.
AACUCGCGGGGAUUGUUUUCCACACCGUGGAAGCUUUGUUCUUUUCGUUUUUUGCAAUAAAUCUUGUUGCUGCUCGCUUUUUGGGUCCACAUUGCUUUUAUGAGCUGUACCACUCACCGUGAAGAUCUGCAGCUUCACUUCAGAGCCUAGCGAGACCACAAGCUCACUGAGAGGAACAAACAACUCCAGACGCGCUGUCUUAAGAGCUAUAACACUCACCGCGAAGGUGUGCAGUUUCACUCCUGAGCUAGUGAGACUACGAAGCCACUGGAACGAAGAAACUCCAACCACGUUUGAACAUCAGAAGGGGCAGACUCCAGACGCUUCAUCUUAAGAGCUGUAACACUCACUGUGAAGGUCUGCAGCUUCACUCCUGAGCCAGCGAGACCACGAACCGAUCUGAACAUCAGAAGGGACAGACUCCAGAUGCCCCACCUUAAGAGCUGUAAUACUCACUGCAAGGGUCUGCAGCUUCAUUCUUGAAGUCAGACCAAGAACCCAGCAAUUCCCAACACACAGGGACCAGCUUCUUUCCUAACUCACUUAGGCUCUUCGUGCUGCUCUGGCAACUAACACCCUUGGCUGCAGGGGCUUGGACACUACCCUUAGUCACUGACAAUUGUGUGAAGGCUGCUGUCGUUAACUUCACUUGAUCACCUUAGGCUCCUGUGAAGUGGUGAGCAAUUCAAACAAAUUCCUGUCGUCAAAUCAUAAUCCUGAUUUUGUUUGGAAGGACAGCGUGCCUGGUUCCAGGAUAUACAUCUUUCCACACCAAUAGACCUUGUUUUCCGAUGUAGCAUUAUUUUUCAUAGUUGGCGAAUAUACAGUUAUGGAUUCAUAACAGCAAGAUGGAGAAAUUGCACUGCAGAGAAAUCUUUAAAAGCAAUUACCUAAUACUGCAGAUUGCUGAACUGUACCCACACCCAAGACUGAGCAUUGGAUCAAUCCAGAAUAUACAUCAGGUGUUCUGCAAUGUCUGCCUAAAACCAUGACUCUGCCUCCUCCAGCUGUUGCUACAUCUCACUAUGGGUUUCCUGUGACAUUUUGAGCAAGUAUGCCUCUGUGACUGGGGUUCUUACACUCCAGAAUGGAUGAGAAGCACCGUAAGUGGCUUUUAAAAUGAAUAUUCCCUGGCCCUUCAGUCGCUCUAUAGGUCAAGAAUCUGAAUUCUCAACCUGUCUAGAAGGUUCUGGUUUUAAUGGUCUGUGGGCUGCACAUUGAGAAACCUGUUCAGCGAGUGCAACAAAGGUUCCACAUGUGAGAAAGGAAGCAUCAGGUCUCUUGAGCCUGUUCUUUAAUCUGUAGGCUGCACCUUCUCUUUAAAUUCUGCUAAUAACACCAUGCGAGAAAACACCCGAGCUUGAAAAGCCCAUGUUCCAACAUAACUGUCCUUCACCACUCUGGAAAAUUAAUGGUUUGUUUCGAUUAUCCCUUUGUUAAACUCCAAAGUCAAAGAGCUCUGAAAGGCAUACGGUUAUUUUAAGUUUCAGGUGAUUUCUGUUGCCAAAUAUUUUAAAAAUUUAAAAUUGCUACGUGACCUCUUAGUAGUACUAUUAGAUUUCCUGACAAUAAAAAUAAGUCUUUUGGUUUCACCAUUUAUAGUUAGUACAGCUAAUAUUAAGUAUAAUUUUAAAAGCCUUUUAUUUUCUCAGAAAGAAAAAAUAAUCAAAAUCUGCUCAGUGUGGUAUUGAAUAAUUAAAAACAAAAGAACAGUAUCUUCACAUUAGUGUUUAAUAUUAAUUGCUUUUUUACCCUUGACACUGGUGCUAAUUAAAUUUUCAUUUUAUUUUCCAUGACUUGUUUAAACAGUUUUUGCAAAUUAUUGCUAAUCAGCCUAAUAAAACUGAAUCACCUAUUAAACAAUUUUGUUUUGAAUUAAAUGGCAUUAAAAUAAUUCUGGCUGCCUUGUGUUAUAAUGUGUUACAAGAAUACCAACCGCUACAGGUAAUAUG